This 505-nucleotide small RNA is filed under the name Pongo abelii (Sumatran orangutan). Its description in RNAcentral is "processed transcript". Lineage: Eukaryota; Metazoa; Chordata; Mammalia; Primates; Hominidae. The record is from RNAcentral.
GAUGGUGAGUUGUAGCCGUGGUCUGGGUGAAUCGCGUUCCAUCCUCGUCCUUUGUACCUCUCUGCUUGCUGUGCUUGGGGGGCUGGCAAGAUUCCGGAUAAGGGGAACUGGUGGGCAGGAAAGAGGCAUGCGGUGGCCCUCAAGAGCGAGAAGAAUGACUGCUAACUGACGAAGGGAACGUCAUCGUUUGGAAAGCGUCGCAAUAAGACGCACACGUUGUGCCGCCGCUGUGGCUCUAAGGCCUACCACCUUCAGAAGUCGACCUGUGGCAAAUGUGGCUACCCUGCCAAGCGCAAGAGAAAGUAUAACUGGAGUGCCAAGGCUAAAAGACGAAAUACCACCGGAACUGGUCGAAUGAGGCACCUAAAAAUUGUAUACCGCAGAUUCAGGCAUGGAUUCCGUGAAGGAACAACACCUAAACCCAAGAGGGCAGCUGUUGCAGCAUCCAGUUCAUCUUAAGAAUGUCAACGAUUAGUCAUGCAAUAAAUGUUCUAGUUUUAAAAAA